UUUAAAUGGCCGCAGUAUUUUAACUGUGCAAAGGUAGCAUAAUCAUUAGUCUUUUAAUUGAAGGCUGGUAUGAAUGGUUGGACGAAGUAUUAACUGUUUCAUAUAAAUUUAUAUUAGAAUUUUAUUUUUUAGUUAAAAAGCUAAAAUAAAUUUAAAAGACGAGAAGACCCUAUAAAUCUUUAUAUUUAACAAUUUAUAAUUUUAUAGAUAUUUUUUAUUAUAAAUUUAAAUAAUAUUUUAUUGGGGUGAUAUUAAAAUUUAAUAAACUUUUAAUUUUUAAACUCAUUAAUUAAUGAUUAAUUGAUCCGUUAUUAACGAUUAAAAAUUUAAGUUACUUUAGGGAUAACAGCGUAAUUUUUUUGGAGAGUUCUUAUCGAUAAAAAAGAUUGCGACCUCGAUGUUGGAUUAAGAUAUAAUUUUAGGUGUAGGUGCUUAAAUUUUAAGUCUGUUCGACUUUUAA
Molecule: ribosomal RNA, 460 nt
Filed under: Atherigona theodori
Lineage: Eukaryota; Metazoa; Arthropoda; Insecta; Diptera; Muscidae
Description: partial 16S ribosomal RNA
Rfam family: Bacterial large subunit ribosomal RNA (bases 342-460)
Source: RNAcentral